UAUGGAUGAAUGAGUUUGAAGUUAAUUGGACAAAACUAGCCAGUAUUAAGUAAUGAAAUGAAAAGAAAAACAAAUAAAUAAUACAGUUGAGGUGGUUUUUGAGAUGGGAAAAGUAGGUUAAUGUUGGAGGCAUACUUCCAAAUGUCUUAUAAAGGAAAUAAAGAUAUAUAAGGCCAAGUGUUUCGACCAAUUUCGUCCAAUUAGCUAUAUACUUUUAUGCAGAAAAAAACCGUUUUUGCAGUGAGAGUGAUUAUUAGAAUAUACACAGAACAGAAGAGAGUUGGUUUGGCUGGUCGUAGAUUGAUAUCGAAAUCUCCCGCUGCUUUGUGGCGUGUGGCGGAGUGUUUGCAGCCAUCUUGAAAUUAAUGACUGUUCACCGGCGGCCGAGAGAGGAGUCAUCAAAGCCUAAUAUUAAUUGUUUGCCUACUUAAACAGUACCUAAUUUUUCAGCCUCGAUGAAGCAGGUAAAGGAGGCGACAAAAAAAGAGCAAAGCAAAGGGCAUAAAACCAAGAACAAUUUGAAUAUUUAUGGGACAUUUUUCGGCACUUAAAAAGGCUACAAGGCAUGUAAUGUGGGAAUAUGUCACCCAGGGUACUUCAUGGUUGUGACAUGUUGCCUUGGAACAUUAUUUUUUGAGCAGGAAGUGAUCUUUUUAUUACAAGUUUGAUUGGUUGAGGCCUAAAAUGAUGUUAACACUAUAUACAUGGGUUUAGAGGGUCAAAAGUCAUUGAUCAUACUUUUUUGCUAUCUCUCUAGCUCUUUAAGAUCAUUGAAUUCUCUAAGAAGUUCAUCAAGAAAGUUAAUUGCUCUUGAAGUUAAUCAAUUCUCAUUUCCAUGGUGUAGAAUCUCAAGCAAGCAAUCUCAUAGAGGGUUGAAAUAUAGAAUUAGGAAAAAAAUUAUGUA
Molecule: long non-coding RNA, 904 nt
Organism: Humulus lupulus (European hop)
Lineage: Eukaryota; Viridiplantae; Streptophyta; Magnoliopsida; Rosales; Cannabaceae
Exons: 3
Source: RefSeq, a predicted model, not a curated record